Myotis daubentonii (Daubenton's bat) is the source of this 5287-nucleotide RNA transcript. It is a transcript of the gene named ataxin 2, with no coding region annotated. NCBI's taxonomy places the organism in Eukaryota, Metazoa, Chordata, Mammalia, Chiroptera, Vespertilionidae. The record is from RefSeq and is a predicted model, not a curated record.
CCCCGUAUCCCUCCGCCGCUCCUCCUCCGCCCGGCCCCGGCCCCGGCCCCCCUCCCUCUGGGCUGCGCUCGCCACCCUCCGCCUCAGACUGUUUUGGUAGCAACGGCAACGGCGGCGGCGCGUUCCGGCCCGGCUCCCGGCAGCUCCUCGGUUUCGGCGGGCCCCCCCGCCCCUUCGUCGUGCUCCUUCUCCCCGUCGCGGGCCCGGGCGCCCCCCCGGCCGCGCCAACCCGCGCCUCCCCGUUCGGCGCCCGCGCGUCCCCGCCGCGCUCCGGCGUCUCCUCGGCGCGCCCGGCUCCCGGCUGUUCCCGCCCGGCGUGCGGGCCGGUGUAUGGGCCCCGCACCAUGUCGCUGAAGCCCCAGCAGCAGCAGCAGCCGUCCGCGGCCGCCAAUGCCCGCAAGCCCGGUGGCGGCGGCCUUCUCACGUCGCCCGCCGCCCCGCCGUCCUCGCCCUCGGUCUCGUCCUCGACCCCGGCUUCCUCCUCCUCCUCCUCGGCGGCGGCGGCGGCGAGCGCAGGCAGCGGGCGGCCCGGCCUGGGCAGAGGUCGAAACAAUAACAAGGGACUGCCUCAGUCUACGAUUUCUUUUGAUGGAAUCUAUGCAAAUAUGAGGAUGGUUCAUAUACUUACAUCAGUUGUUGGAUCCAAAUGUGAAGUACAAGUGAAAAAUGGAGGUAUAUAUGAAGGAGUUUUUAAAACAUACAGUCCUAAGUGUGAUUUGGUCCUUGAUGCUGCACAUGAGAAAAGUACAGAAUCCAGUUCAGGGCCAAAGCGUGAAGAAAUAAUGGAGAGUAUUUUGUUUAAGUGUUCAGACUUCGUUGUGGUACAAUUUAAAGAUAUGGACUCCAGUUAUGCAAGAAGAGUUGCUUCAGAAACAGAUGCUUUUACUGACUCAGCUAUCAGUGCUAAAGUGAACGGUGAGCACAAAGAGAAGGACCUGGAGCCCUGGGAUGCUGGGGAGCUCACUGCCAGUGAGGAGCUCGAAGCUUUGGAAAACGACGUCUCUAAUGGAUGGGAUCCCAAUGAUAUGUUUCGAUAUAAUGAAGAAAAUUAUGGUGUAGUGUCUACAUAUGAUAGCAGUUUAUCUUCAUAUACCGUGCCCUUAGAAAGGGAUAAUUCAGAAGAAUUUUUAAAACGAGAAGCAAGAGCAAACCAAUUAGCAGAAGAAAUUGAAUCAAGUGCCCAGUACAAAGCCCGGGUAGCCCUGGAAAAUGAUGAUAGGAGCGAAGAAGAAAAAUACACAGCAGUUCAGAGAAAUUCCAGUGAACGCGAGAGUCACAGCAUCAACACUAGGGAAAAUAAAUAUAUUCCUCCUGGACAAAGAAAUAGAGAAGUCAUGUCCUGGGGAAGUGGGCGACAGAAUUCACCGCGUAUGGGCCAGCCUGGACCGGGCUCCAUGGCAUCAAGAUCCACUUCUCACACAUCAGAUUUCAACCCGAAUUCUGGUUCAGACCAAAGAGUAGUUAAUGGAGUUUUUAUACUUUCCUUCAUAUCAUUUGUUCUGUCAGGUGUUCCCUGGCCAUCGCCUUGCCCAUCUCCUUCCUCUCGCCCACCUUCUCGCUACCAGUCAGGUCCCAACUCUCUUCCACCUCGGGCAGCCACCCCUACACGGCCGCCCUCCAGGCCCCCCUCGCGGCCAUCCAGACCCCCGUCUCACCCCUCUGCUCAUGGUUCUCCAGCUCCUGUCUCUACUAUGCCUAAACGCAUGUCUUCAGAAGGGCCUCCAAGGAUGUCCCCAAAGGCCCAGCGACACCCUCGAAAUCACAGAGUUUCUGCUGGAAGGGGUUCCAUUUCCAGUGGACUAGAAUUUGUAUCCCAUACUCCACCGAGUGAAGCAGUGGCUCCUCCCACAGCAAGGACCAGUCCAGCGGGGGGCACGUGGUCAUCUGUGGUCAGCGGGGUUCCAAGAUUAUCCCCCAAAACUCACAGACCCAGGUCUCCCAGACAGAACAGUAUUGGAAAUACUCCUAGUGGACCAGUUCUUGCUUCUCCCCAAGCUGGUAUUAUUCCCACGGAAGCUGUUGCUAUGCCUGUUCCAGCUGCAUCUCCCACGCCUGCCAGUCCUGCAUCUAACAGAGCUGUCACCCCGUCUAUUGAGGCUAAGGAUUCCAGGCUUCAAGAUCAGAGGCAGAACUCUCCUGCAGGGAAUAAGGAAAACAUGAAGCCCAAUGAGACAUCACCCAGCUUCUCAAAAGUUGAAAAUAAAGGUAUAUCACCAGUUGUUUCCGAGCAUAGAAAACAGAUUGAUGACUUAAAGAAAUUUAAGAAUGAUUUUAGGUUACAGCCAAGUUCUACUUCUGAAUCUGUGGAUCAACUGCUAAACAAAAAUAGAGAGGGAGAAAAAUCAAGAGAUUUGAUCAAAGACAAAAUUGAACCAAAUGCUAAGGAUUCUUUCAUUGAAAAUAACAGCAGCAACUGCACCAGUGGCAGCAGCAAGCCGAGCAGCCCCAGCGUUUCCCCCUCGAUCCUCAGUCACACGGAGCACAGGAGGGGUCCUGAGGUCACCUCCCAAGGAGUGCAGACGUCCAGCCCCGGAUGUAAACCAGAGAAAGAUGAUAAAGAGGAGAAAAAAGACGCAGCUGAGCAAGUGAGGAAAUCAACAUUGAAUCCCAACGCAAAGGAAUUCAACCCUCGUUCUUUUUCUCAGCCAAAGCCUUCUACCACCCCAACUUCGCCUCGCCCUCAAGCACAACCUAGCCCAUCCAUGGUGGGUCAUCAGCAGCCAACUCCAGUUUAUACUCAGCCUGUUUGUUUUGCACCAAAUAUGAUGUAUCCAGUCCCAGUGAGCCCAGGCGUGCAACCAUUAUACCCUAUACCUAUGACGCCCAUGCCAGUGAAUCAGGCCAAGACAUAUAGAGCAGGUAAAGUACCAAAUAUGCCCCAGCAACGGCAAGACCAGCAUCAUCAGAGCACCAUGAUGCAUCCCGCCUCAGCGGCAGGCCCGCCAAUUGUGGCCACCCCACCAGCGUAUUCCACACAGUACGUUGCCUAUAGUCCUCAGCAGUUUCCAAAUCAGCCUCUUGUUCAGCACGUGCCCCAUUAUCAGUCUCAGCACCCUCAUGUCUACAGCCCUGUGAUACAGGGCAGUGCCAGGAUGAUGGCCCCAGCGGCCCACGCCCAGCCGGGCCUCGUGUCUUCCUCAGCUGCUCAGUACGGGGCUCACGAGCAGACACAUGCGAUGUAUGCAUGUCCCAAAUUACCAUACAACAAGGAGACAAGCCCUUCUUUCUACUUUGCCAUUUCCACUGGCUCCCUUGCUCAGCAGUAUGCGCACCCUAAUGCUACCCUGCACCCACAUACUCCACAUCCUCAGCCUUCAGCCACCCCCACUGGACAGCAGCAAAGCCAACAUGGUGGAAGUCACCCUGCACCCAGUCCCGUCCAGCACCAUCAGCACCAAGCCGCCCAGGCUCUCCACCUGGCGGGUCCGCAGCAGCAGUCAGCCAUUUACCACGCGGGGCUCGCACCAACCCCGCCGUCCAUGACACCUGCUUCCAACACGCAGUCGCCACAGAACAGUUUCCCAGCAGCACAGCAGACAGUCUUCACAAUCCACCCUUCUCACGUCCAGCCGGCAUACACCAACCCGCCCCACAUGGCCCACGUACCUCAGUUCUGGUUCAAGGUAUCUCUAGGAAAAGACAAGACUGAGAUACUCUCUUUGGUGGAUAGAGGUCUGCUUCAGAAGGAAGGCUGGCCAGAGUUGGGCAGCAUUGAAACUCCACACCCUCAGCCUGACGCUGAUUCUAAAUGAUCAGAGGCAGAAGAUUUAUACCAGAUAAAGCCAUAUGGAUUGCUGGUCUAAAAUUCAAGGCAGGUCCUGAGUGAGCCUGGCUAGAGCAGGAGGCUCCGGGGCACCCUAGAACCCUACACUGCCCCCCAUCGCCUCCAUUUCCUCUGGUGACAAGCCCGAUAAGCUUGUUUCUUCAGGGUCAUGAGAUGUCGCUGGCUGCUUCCAGCAGAGACCAAAGUAGAUAAGAUGGCGGAAAGAGCCCGAGAUGGGUUGGGGAAGCCCCCCUGCCUCCAGCAGCUCUUUUCCCUGGGCCAGGAAGAAAGCCAGGUGCACCUGGGGAACAGCACAGCCCCUAACACAUUGCACAGGGUGGGGGUGGGGGUGGAAACAAGAGGUGGGCUUUGGGGGAUCCGACCUCUACUUCUGCCCAGAGGCUGCCUUUUUUCCAGAGCUGACCCCCAAAGCCCGGCGCUUCCCCAUGCCGUAGGCACGCAGGAGCGGGGCACCUCUGACCCAGGGCCGCUGCCUGCCUGCAAUCCCCUCCCACACGGAGGCGAGCGGGCAGACUGGCAAGUGAGGGUUGGCCAAACAGAGGCUCUUCCCAGUCCAGGCCCCUCCCAGCAGGUCCAAGUCCUGCCCUGGCUGCUGGACACAGCAUCUGGGGACAGUAACAGCAGCUCUAGGAACCACUCACUUUGUCUAACAUCACAAGUUGAGGGAACAGAGCCCGGAGGGGUGGCACAGCUAGUAAAUCCCAGCCCCAGUGUUUUCACCUUUCCAGUCUCUCUUCCCCAUCCCUUCCUUGUAACCCAGUUUCUCAGCCUGGGAGUCAGGUGUGGGGCCUGUGCACCCCUGGCAGCGUUGACAGCCAGCCAGUCUCGGAGCCUGUUUCCUGUCUACAAAAGGCUCCACCCCCGCAGCUGAGGAACUGCUGACCUGGCGGCUGCGGUGGGAAGAGGAUUCCCCCUCGGCACCUGAGGGCCCUGGCCCACAAGUGAUGUGGAACUCGUCCUGGCCACUUACCUUCCUGAGGCUGAGCAUGACGGCUUCCUCCCGUCUCCCCGGUAAGAACUGGGCUCUGAAGCAGGGGCACUAACUACGUGCUGCCUGAGCGUGGGCAAUGCCAGAGGCUCUGCCCAGACUGGAGGCGGGAGAGCCUGAGGACAGGACAGCCCCACCUGGACUGGGCUAGACAGGAUUCGGGAGCACCAGGUGCCUUUCUGGUUGGGCGCUGUGAGGGCACAGAACUGUGGUGGAAGCGAAGAUGCAAACCAGCUCUGCCACUAUCCUCACAGUAGGGUCUGCCCUCUACAGCUACCCUUGCUUUAUAAUCCCUCCAGGCUCUAAGGAUUAGUGUGGUGGCCGGCUGGGGCCUGAGGCCAGCCAGGUGGGUCCACUACAGCGGCAGAGGACUAGGUUACAGACCACCCUCAGCAUGCAGCUCCCUCUCCACCUGCCAGAGUGUGGUACCAUGCUCCUUUCCACCCUGCAGUGAAAUUCACACCUCCUAUUACCUACAUGCCUGAGACAAUCUACAUUAAAGUAAAAUGUAUUUC